GUUUCCUUUUGCAUGUCGACGAGUGCACAUCGCAGUCUCGUAGUACGCAUUCUGUGGAAGUAAUAGAGAAGAGUCAAUAAUGAAAUUGUGGAGUGGGGAUACUGGGCUUCCUGAGAUGACAACAAAGUCACGCGUUCGACCGAUUUUAAUAGUUAAUGGUUCAGUCUUGCUACGAAUUUCGACGAGUACACAUCGUAGUUCUCAUAGUACACAUUUUCCACAAAUAAUAACAAAGAGUUAAUAAUGAAAUUGUGGAGUGGGGAUACUGGGCUUCCUGAGAUGACAACAAAGUCGAGCGUUCGACCGAUUUUAAUAGUUAAUGGUUCAGUCUUGCUACGAAUUUCGACGAGUACACAUCGUAGUUCUCGUAGUACACAUUUUCCACAAGUAAUAACAAAGAGUUAAUAAUGAAAUUGUGGAGUGGGGAUACUGGGCUUCCUGAGAUGACAACAAAGUCGAGCGUUCGACCGAUUUUAAUAGUUAAUGGUUCAGUCUUGCUACGAAUUUCGACGAGUACACAUUGUAGUUCUCGUAGUACACAUUCCCUACAAGUAAUAACAAAGAGUUAAUAAUGAAAUUGUGGAGUGGGGAUACUGGGCUUCCUGAGAUGACAACAAAGUCGAGCGUUCGACCGAUUUUAAUAGUUAAUGGUUCAGUCUUGCUACGAAUUUCGACGAGUACACAUCGUAGUUCUCGUAGUACACAUUUUCCACAAGUAAUAACAAAGAGUUAAUAAUGAAAUUGUGGAGUGGGGAUACUGGGCUUCCUGAGAUGACAACAAAGUCGAGCGUUCGACCGAUUUUAAUAGUUAAUGGUUCAGUCUUGCUACGAAUUUCGACGAGUACACAUCGUAGUUCUCGUAGUACACAUUCCCUACAAGUAAUAACAAAGAGUUAAUAAUGAAAUUGUGGAGUGGGGAUACUAGGCUUCAUGAGAUGACAACAAAGUCGAACGUUCGACCGAUUUUAAUAGUUAAUGGUUCAGUCUUGCUACGAAUUUCGACGAGU
Long non-coding RNA from Vespula vulgaris, 1007 nucleotides. RefSeq lists it as uncharacterized. The transcript has 7 exons. The record is from RefSeq and is a predicted model, not a curated record. Lineage: Eukaryota; Metazoa; Arthropoda; Insecta; Hymenoptera; Vespidae.